Molecule: ribosomal RNA, 114 nt
Organism: Danio rerio (zebrafish)
Lineage: Eukaryota; Metazoa; Chordata; Actinopteri; Cypriniformes; Danionidae
Source: Ensembl
GCUGGCAGCUGGCUCUCUCAACUCUUGCAUAGUCGCCCACUGAAGCUAAGCAGGGCCGAGUCCAGUCAGUACCUGGAUGGGAGACCACAUGGGAAAGUUAGGUUGCUGUCGGAA